Long non-coding RNA from Manis pentadactyla (Chinese pangolin), 2040 nucleotides. RefSeq lists it as uncharacterized. The transcript is spliced from 2 exons. NCBI's taxonomy places the organism in Eukaryota, Metazoa, Chordata, Mammalia, Pholidota, Manidae. The record is from RefSeq and is a predicted model, not a curated record.
AUACAAACUAAUGAGAGGAAUGUAUUGGAUUUGUGACCUUGAAAUUGUCACUUAAUCACUUCUCUACCAGUUUCCAUUCUGCAAAAUAGGGUAAUGAUGACACCAUGUCACAGGCAGUGAGGAUUCAAAUGAAUGUAUAUAUUCAAGAGGCUUAGGACAAACAGUACCUGAUAAUACAUUGUCAAUAAACAUUAUGUGUCAUUAUAAUAAUUUCUAGUACCUUUAGUUUACCCUCUGGGCUUUAGUUUUCUCAUCUGGAUAACAAAAGUUUUGGGCUUAAGCUAAAUAAUGCUUUUCAUCCUUUCAGAUCAAAGACUCAACAAUUUUGCAUCUAACAAUUGUGUAUCAAUUGUUCUGAUGGCCUAUAGGAUGAAUUUUUCAAGUGGGAGAUAUAACAACAGUGGUGUGUUUUCCUCAAACCCUUGCUGGCAGCCGCUGUUAAAGCUAAUGAAACAUGCUCUGCGGUUUUAUUUUGCAGAGUAAUGCCUGGUGCAGUUCCUGCAUUUAUGGCACAGCUUAAGUCUUCCAUUGGUGCUGAGAGGUGUUUUAUUUCUCAGUGAUGCACUUCUCAGCUAGAUUUGGUCCUUUGAAGCCCAGGACAUCCUGCCGUGAUGAAGGCAGACCCAGAAAAGGCGGUGGAGCCCAUGAUACCAGGACCGGCGGGUGAAGGGAAGGAGCCAGGACCAGGCAGCCGGGGGGCCGCUGGUGGCAGCUGGGCAGGCAGGCCGAGGCCCCGGAGGAGUGUGAGGUUCGGGUGUCAGUAAUGGAGAGCCAAAACUAAGCAUGGAGAGCAAAAGGAGGGCUGCUGCCAAGGCUCCUGUUGGCGAGGACCAGCUGCUGACUGAAGACAGCUGUCAUGGCCUCCAGAAACUUGGCCACAGAGUUCAGGACCAGUGUGGCCUGAAGAUCAUGCUGAAGUCCCUGAAGGACCCCCAGGAGGUGGCCUUCUCGGAAGCAGAGACAGGUGGACCUGCUGGAAAUGCAGCAUCUCACUUCUUCCAUUCCUAGUCAAGGACAUCCCACUAUCUACAGGAAAGCAGACCACCCACUCCAUAAUUAACCCUUUAUGGUGCCUAGGGAAGAGAAGAAUAAGGUCUCUUCUUGCUAUUUUAUGAACUUUUUGAGGGCAGGAGCUACGUCUGAUUGACCUAGCAUAGUAUCUGGCCCAUCAGAGCUGCUCAGUGUGUUUUUGCUGAGCGGACCACCGAGCCUGGAAUUGUUGUCAGUCUGUUAAUAUGAAUGCUUUGCUAAUUAAAAAAAAAAACUGGUCAUCAUUCAGCCAGGAGAGUACAAAUGCAGUAAAGAGACCACCAAACAGAGACACAAGGAAUCUUCAGGUGCUGGUGUGGACAGUCAUGAGGUAAUGUCCUCAAAACAGCACCCCUCAGCCUUCAGCAUCCACCACAGGAUGGAGAGACUCUGAGGCAUGCGUCUGCCUUUCACGCUCCCCACCCCCUGGGGCAGUGGGUGUGACAGGCAGCAGCUCUCCUCCACCAAGGACAGACGGAACCCUCAGGUGAAGGCUCAGGGUGCUACCAGUGUGAGCCUGGGGACCUGGACAAACGGCCCACAGGAAACAGUGCAGGCAUGCCGAGAGCUCAUGUCCUCAUGGCUUCCCACAGGGCCAGGUUCCAGAGAACAGAAGCAGGAUGGGCGAAGGCAGAGAAGCACAUGUCAUGCUGUCACUUCAGGUCUAUUCCAGAAAAGUGCACUGGCUGACAGCGGGGUGGAAAAGCCAUCUGCAGCUCUUGCCGGCUCCUCAGCCCCCUGACACAGGCUUUAACAGAACCUGGACAGUGGAGCCCUCGGGUGCCAGUGCAGCUCUCCUUCCCCAGCUCUGGGAGCCGUGUCACGGGCCUCAGCUCCCUCUCCUAUGAGCAGGGAGUACAAGUAGGAUUCCAUUAAAUAACGUAUGUAAAUUAUGCUACUAGCACAGAGCAGAUGCUCAACCCAAAUUUGUUCUUUCCCUCUUUUCAAAUGUUGAGAAUCAUGAGACUCAGGCUUAUGAACUAAAAUAUAUGCCCAUGUUCGGUUCAACUC